RNAcentral lists this transfer RNA (84 nucleotides) under Anaerolineae bacterium. RNAcentral's name for it is "tRNA-Leu". It matches the Rfam family "tRNA". From Rfam's summary of the family: Transfer RNA (tRNA) molecules are approximately 80 nucleotides in length. Lineage: Bacteria; Bacillati; Chloroflexota; Anaerolineae. The record is from RNAcentral.
GGGGCUGUGGCGAAAUGGCAGCCGCAGCGGACUUAAAAUCCGCCGCCCUCAAAAGGCAUGUGGGUUCGACUCCCACCGGCCCCA